UACCAUGAAACCAAACAAAACACCCCGUUAAAUUAA
This 36-nucleotide ribosomal RNA is filed under the name Symbiodinium sp. clade D. Its description in RNAcentral is "Durusdinium sp. clade D partial 28S ribosomal RNA". The record is from RNAcentral. Lineage: Eukaryota; Dinophyceae; Suessiales; Symbiodiniaceae.